GACCGACCUUCAGCGGGGCUGUGGCUACCAUGUUCUCUCGCGCGGGUGUCGCUGGGCUGUCGGCCUGGACCUUGCAGCCGCAAUGGAUUCAAGUUCGAAAUAUGGCAACUUUGAAAGAUAGGAUUAAUGAAAAUCAAGUUCCAUCCUCAGACAAGAGGUAAAGAAGGAAAAUUCAGCCAGUUGAUUUUGUUUUUAGCUUACUGCUGCCUUUGUCCGAAGAAACUGUUCCUCCAUUAUUUGAAUUACUGAAGACAGCAAGAUAUUUGUAAAUUAUCUUAAAAUAAACAACUUA
RNAcentral lists this small RNA (292 nucleotides) under Pan troglodytes (chimpanzee). RNAcentral describes it as "processed transcript". The record is from RNAcentral. Lineage: Eukaryota; Metazoa; Chordata; Mammalia; Primates; Hominidae.